Long non-coding RNA from Camelina sativa (false flax), 940 nucleotides. RefSeq lists it as uncharacterized. The record is from RefSeq and is a predicted model, not a curated record. NCBI's taxonomy places the organism in Eukaryota, Viridiplantae, Streptophyta, Magnoliopsida, Brassicales, Brassicaceae.
GUGAUGGUUUUUGUGAAGAAAGGGUCCAAGAAGAAGGUUUUUUUUUUUUUAUAAAACAUCUCUUGUCAUAUCCCUCGUAUAUCAUAAUUAAUGACUUCUUUAUAUUGUGUUUACUCUUGUAGUGAUGUUACAUAACAUGUAUACUCUUGUAGUGAUGUUACGUAACAUACAUAAAUCCCAAGGUUUGCUUCUUUUUUUUCGUGAUACUUUAGUUUUGUAAACCUGAAUUGAAGUUCUGCAUAUGUAAUGAUGAUAUGGUUAUCUAUUGAUUGUGAAAUCUGGUUGGCUAUUGCAAGUUAUACUAGUUUGGUUUAUAUCCUCAGAUUUGGUUUAAUAAGUGUUGCAUGUUCGAGCACAAUAUCACAAUCCCAAGGAAGCGAUCAAGUGGUUGAAGCAAUCCGCUGAGAAUGGUUACGUUCGAGCACAUUGUCACUAUAUCAGUUAGCUCUUUGUUCACACUAAAGCUGGGUUGUGCAAACCAAUAUGCUAACAUCAUCUGAGAUUGAAGUAUUGGUAUAAGAUAGUUGUGUUGUUGAUUGUAUUCAUAUGAUCCAGGGAGAUUUUUUGAAGAACAAGGACUAAGAUUCAUGCUGGGUUUGUUCUUGAUAACCCUCCACGGCGAGCCCAACUCAAGGCAACAACAGGGAGAACCGAGCUGCCAAUCCUGAAGCUGUGACUGAAUCUCCGCAAAUGACUGAGCUUCCGCAAUGUGUCUAAUGAGUCUCAUGAGCAAGAAGACGAUGACGAUGAGGAACUUGUAGGUAGUGCACUCUUCUGAUGAACUUGUUGUCUCAGCUUUCUAUCAUCCCUCUUGUCUAUGGUACUUGGCUUCUACGACUUUCGUUUAAAACUCUUGUCUUUUGUCUGCUAGUGUAAAACUCUAUCUAUUUUGAAUGUUUAAAGCUAAGGUUUAACAUUAAUCGGAACUUUUGUACUUUCA